UCAAAAAAGUUACUCCUUUCUCCGUCCGUCUACCUCUUCCAAAUCCCCAACCCGCCCCACUUUUCUCCACUCCACCCAGCGUCCGGAUCCCAUCUCACCUAGCGGCGCUCAUGUGACACUCCGGCUCGCGCUCUCGCUCACGCUCUGCAACCCACCUGUCGACGCGGCUGUUCCAACUGGAGCUUGGGCGUAUCUAAUUAAGCCACCGGGUUGGAAUCGGGGGCGAUGGGGCAGGAGGGGAUGGGCUACAGCAGCGGCAAGGCCGGCGGCGGUGGGGGAGGGGCCCUGCCGAUGACGGCGGCGCGGGCGCGUGGGGCUUCGCCGCUCAGCACCCACCAUCGGUCGCGGAAGAUCAGCCGCACCUUCAACAACGUCAAGAUCACCGUGCUCUGCGGCCUCGUCACCAUCCUCGUCCUCCGGGGUACCAUUGGGCUCAACCUCUCCCUUCCGUCCCAACCCUCCGACGCCGAUGCCCUCGCAGGCGCCAAGGCCGUUGAGGACAUCGACCGCAUCCUCCGCGAGAUCCGCUCCGACUCCGACCCCUCCGACCCCACCGACAGCGACCUCGACUCCUCCAGCGUCCUUUCCAACGCCACCGCACUCAACUCCUCGGAAGCCGCCGCCGCCUAUGCCGCCGCCGUGGGCAACUACGCGCUCGGUCCCAACGUCUCUGGCUGGGACGAGCAGCGCCGACGGUGGCUCGCGCAGAACAAGGGCUUCCCAGCCACUGUCCCCGGCGGCAAGCCCAGGAUCCUGCUUGUCACGGGGUCGCAACCAGGCCCCUGUGACAACCCGCUUGGCGACCACUACCUGCUCAAGAGCACCAAAAACAAGAUCGACUACUGCCGCUUCCACGACAUCGAGAUCGUUCACAAUCUUGCGCACCUCGACAACGAGCUCGCUGGUUACUGGGCCAAGCUGCCGCUGCUCCGCCGACUUAUGCUCUCCCACCCGGAGGUCGAGUGGAUCUGGUGGAUGGACAGUGACGCCCUAUUCACCGACAUGGCCUUUGAGCUGCCCCUCUCGCGCUAUGACAACCAUAACCUCAUCAUUCACGGUUAUCAGGAUCUCCUCUUUGAGAAGCACUCUUGGAUCGCGCUCAACACCGGCAGCUUCCUCUUCCGGAACUGCCAGUGGUCACUCGAUCUUCUCGCUGCGUGGGCUCCUAUGGGGCCCAAGGGCUUCAUCCGCGAGGAAGCCGGGAAGAUACUCACCGCAUACCUGAAGGGCCGUCCAGCAUUCGAGGCUGACGACCAGUCUGCGUUGAUACACCUCUUGCUCUCGCAGAAGGAGAAGUGGAUGGACAAGGUGUAUAUAGAGAAUUCAUACUACUUGCACGGUUUCUGGGCUGGGCUGGUGGACAAGUACGAGGAGAUGAUGGAGAACCACCAUCCAGGGCUUGGGGAUGAGCGGUGGCCAUUUGUGACACACUUUGUUGGGUGCAAGCCAUGCGGAAGCUAUGGUGAUUACCCAGUAGACCGGUGUCUCAAGAGUAUGGAGCGAGCAUUUAAUUUUGCCGAUAACCAGGUGCUGCGCCUGUAUGGUUUCGCACACAAGGGGCUGGAAAGCCCUAAGAUCAAAAGGAUCAGGAGUCAGACCACAAAGCCUAUUAACGACAAGGAGAACCUUGAUGUGAAGGCCAAGAUGUCGACCACUUCUUGAAGCUACUGAAGAUAAGGCAAUAGCAUAGGCUCUCUUCAAGGUCCAAGAAUGGCCAGUUUUGAGAUAAGUGGUGGAGGAAAACCAUAUAGGGCUUGGAAUGGGGACAUUUUGAUUGCAGUGUGAUAGGUAGAAUUGUACCAGAAUUCAGCCAAAGACAACCGAGAAAGCCAUUUCUUAGGUGCUGGUGUAGUCAUGCAUCUUAAAUAUUAUCAUUUUUGGAGGGCCAUGCAACCUAAUUGUGUAAUCAACAAAGGCUUGAGCCACACCGAGCACUGUGUAGGGAUGAGACAGGGGAAUAAAAUGUGCAUACUUGGUAAACCCGUCCACUAUUACCAUGAUGACAUCCUUUCCUUGAGAGUUAGGCACGCCCUCAAUGAAGUCCAUAGAUAUGUGUUGCCAUGCCAUAUCAGCCACAGGGAGUGCUUCCAGAAGACCAGGCUGUAAGCAAUUUUCAUGCUUAGCUCUUUGACAGAUAGGGCAGGCAUCAAUGAAAGCUUCCACUAAUGAUUUUACUCCAGGCCAGUUAAAAAUGCUUUUCACUCUAUGAUAUGUUGCUCUUCUUCCAGAGUGACCACCCACAGGAGAGUUGUGCAAAGCUAUGAGUAACUUGUUUCUUAACUUAGGAAUGUUGCCCACAAGAAUUUUUCCUUUAUAUCUUA
RNA transcript from Triticum aestivum (bread wheat), 2321 nucleotides. It is a transcript of the gene named probable glycosyltransferase 2, with no coding region annotated. The transcript has 3 exons. Lineage: Eukaryota; Viridiplantae; Streptophyta; Magnoliopsida; Poales; Poaceae. The record is from RefSeq and is a predicted model, not a curated record.